GUAUAUGGUCACUUUAUAUUUGGCCAUCUGCUAACGUCUUCUAUCCACUCCACUAUAGUACACGGAUCUGGUAGAUGUGUUGAAAAAGUUGAUAAGUCAACUUUUUAAAAUAACUUUGUCUGUGUUACUUCACUGCUGAUUCUUACCAUACUUCCGUUGCCAAACUGCGUGCACCUACGUUGCCACAUCAUCAUUGUGUACAAAGAGUAAAAGGGUCUAUAAAGACUCAUACAAAAUACUCCAAAGUUUUUUCAAGAGGACAUCACCCAACCCAUCUAAAGGAUGAAAACAAUACUCUUGUUGAAUACUACAUGAGACAAACCAUCCUGACUUAGAUCACCAUCAUCCCCUGCAUCGUGCCCUUCAUCAGACACCCAAAAUGCA
Molecule: non-coding RNA, 384 nt
Organism: Misgurnus anguillicaudatus (oriental weatherfish)
Lineage: Eukaryota; Metazoa; Chordata; Actinopteri; Cypriniformes; Cobitidae
Source: RefSeq, a predicted model, not a curated record